GAUGAACGCUGGCGGCGUGCCUAAUACAUGCAAGUCGAGCGAACGGACGCUAAGCUUGCUUCUCUGAUGUUAGCGGCGCGCGGGUGUGUAACACGUGUAUAACCUACCUAUAAGACUGGGAUAACUUCGGGAAACCGUAGCUAAUACCGUAUAAUAUUUUGAACCGCAUGGUUCGAAAGUGAAAUACGGUCUUUCUGUCUCUUAUAGAUGGAUCCGCGCUGCAUUAGCGAGUUGGUAAGGUAACGGCCUACCAAGGGAACGAUGCAUAGCCGAGGUGAGGGAGGGAUAGGCCACCCUGGAACGUGGACGGGGACAAGACGACUACGGGAGGCCGCAGUAGGGAAUCGUCCGCAGCGGGCGAGAACAUUACGGAGCAGCCGGGCGCGAGUGAUGACGGUCUUCCGAUCGUAAAAACCUGUUAUUAGGGAAGAACAUCUGUGUAAGUAACUGUGCACAUAUUGACGGUAACGAAUCAGAAAGCCCCGGCUAACUACGUG
RNAcentral lists this ribosomal RNA (497 nucleotides) under uncultured bacterium. RNAcentral describes it as "partial 16S ribosomal RNA". It matches the Rfam family "Bacterial small subunit ribosomal RNA", at positions 28 to 507 of the family's 1533-position model. The record is from RNAcentral.